This is a non-coding RNA of Phalacrocorax carbo (great cormorant), 1212 nucleotides long. The record is from RefSeq and is a predicted model, not a curated record. NCBI's taxonomy places the organism in Eukaryota, Metazoa, Chordata, Aves, Suliformes, Phalacrocoracidae.
UGUAUUUUGCUGCGAGUGGUAGAUUUCUAGAACCCGUACUCAGCAGUCUCUAAGCUAAGCUAAGAGACAGAAGAAUGCAAUGCAGUCAGUGCCUGUAUGAUAUGUUACUAAGGUAAAAGAAGGUUAUCUCCUUUUGUAAAUUUACUUUCAAUCCCAAGAUAGUUUUUUUUUUGUUUAGAUUACCCAUACUGUGAACCUUGUUCUCAUGUACGUCUGCAAAUCAUUACCACGUCGCUGGAGUAGUAUGUGCAGGGACUAGAAACUGAUUCACCAGGUACAGAGUGUCACAGUGCUCCGGUCAUCGGAUCUGUCAGGCUGGGUCUCCAGCAGUGUGUCAGGAUCCAAAACUGGGUUGCGAGCUGGAUGGAACCUCAGUUGCAGAAAAGAGUUUACAAGCCUGAGAGAGCAAGCAGAAGAGAAGUCUUCAGCAGAGAGAGAUGGAAAAUACUGCUCCCCAGGGCGCAGCCCAGCUCUGCUUCCUAGGCUUUGCGUUGCCAACAGGAGGUUUUCUCCCAGGCUGCAAGGGAGGAGGAUGCAAGGGGCUUUUUAUUAGAGAAGGUCUUUUUAGCACAACAGACCAGAUUAAGUCUUCCAGUGCUGCCCCUUCUGUUCAGCGGAAGAGCUGCCAGCAGGGAUGCGUUGCCUGGUUUUCUAGAGGUGAAGCAUACAGCUGUUGUAGCACCCUCUGCCCUUCCCAACCUGCAAGCAUGCAGUGAGAAAUCGGGAUACUACCUUGAAUCCUGCGUUAUUGCCACCAGCCUCUCCUCUUUCGAAAAGGACGCCGCCGAGAGGAAUUUCUGAACGAACUGCUGCAAACUCCUGUUUAAUGAACUCUGCAUCACAAAGUUUUCUUAUAGACGCACGGCUUAACCAUGAAGUAUUAACAAUUGUGAAGUUACUUUGUAAACAAACAUGCUGUACCUGUGACCUGGCGAUGAAAAUGUUACAGGGUCGUGGAGCUCAAUCCAGUUCUCCCAUCAACUUCCAGAGUGAUUUCUGACAUUACGGUAUUUUUGUGCCUGGGUUCCACUAUUCCAUUAUCCUGGGUUUCUAGAAAAAUAAUAUCAACCUCUCCAAGGCUCUGAAGACAUACGAGAUCUUUGGCUAGUUCAUGCGUGCAGUUGAGAUUGCAUGAGGAAAGCAUCCUUAAUAUUUUCUGAUAUUUAAUUUUUCUGUUAACCACUCUCCCUUAUAUAAAACUUAUAUGUGUGA